Molecule: long non-coding RNA, 640 nt
Filed under: Cicer arietinum (chickpea)
Lineage: Eukaryota; Viridiplantae; Streptophyta; Magnoliopsida; Fabales; Fabaceae
Description: long non-coding RNA (CARI_LNC001889)
Source: RNAcentral
CAUCCUCUUUUCCCUCAUAUUCCUAUCUACAAGAAACCUCUCCCUCCUCCUGUGCCUGUCUAUGUAAAACCUCUUCCCCCUCCUGUGCCUAUCUAUAAGCCUCCUGUAUAUGUAAAACCUCUCCCUCCUCCAGUGCCUAUCUAUAAGCCACCUGUUUACGUGAAACCUCACCCUCCUCUUGUGCCUGUUUAUAAACCACCUGUAUACGUGAAACCUCACCCUCCUCCUGUGCCUGUCUAUAAACCACCUGUAUAUGUGAAACCUCACCCUCCUCCUGUGCCUGUCUAUAAGCCUCCUAUUAUUCCAGUUACUAAACCGCUUCCACCACCGGUUCCGUUCAAGAAACCAUGUCCACCAAAGAUUGAGCAUCCAAUUCUACCACCUGUUCCAAUAUAUAAACCUCCAAUAGUUCCAAAGCCACCGGUGGUUCCGAUCGUCAAGCCACUUCCUCCUCCAGUUCCAAUUUACAAACCACCAGUUGUCACUAAACCUUUUCCUCCAUUCAAGAAACCACCAUGUCCACCAAAGAUUGAGCAUCCAAUUCUACCACCUGUUCCAAUAUAUAAACCUCCAGUAGUUCCAAAACCACCGGUGGUUCCGAUCGUCAAGCCACUUCCUCCUCCAGUUCCAAUUUACAAAC